RNAcentral lists this ribosomal RNA (889 nucleotides) under uncultured euryarchaeote. Its description in RNAcentral is "bacterial SSU rRNA". It matches the Rfam family "Archaeal small subunit ribosomal RNA", at positions 377 to 1298 of the family's 1478-position model. Lineage: Archaea; Methanobacteriati; Methanobacteriota. The record is from RNAcentral.
UGAUUAAAGUGUUCUAUUUAUAGAAACUUUUGCCAUCUGUAAAAAGGCUGGCGAAUAAGGAGUGGGCAAGACCGGUGCCAGCCGCCGCGGUAAUCCCGGCAGUCCAAGUCGCAGCCACAAUUAUUGGGUCUAAAAUAUCCGUAGCUUACUUAAGAAGUUUCCUGUGAAAUCUUACAUCUUAAGUGUAAGGCGAGCAAGAAAUACUCUUAAGCUAGAGACCGGCAGGUGUAAGAAGUACGUUUGAGGUAGUGGUAAAAUAUUCUAAUCUCAGAUGGACUGACAGUCGCGAAGGCGUCUUACAAGGACGGUUCUGACAGUGAGGGAUGAAGGCUAGGGGCGCAAAAGGGAUUAGAUACCCCUGUAGUCCUAGCAGUAAACACUGCUCACUAAACAUUAGUACCUCCUCGAGAGGUAUUGGUGCUGCAGCGAAGGCGAAGAGUGAGCUACCUGGGAAGUAUAGUCGCAAGGCCGAAACUUAAAGGAAUUGGCGGGGGAGCACUACAACGGGUGACGCGUACGGUUCAAUUAGAUUCCACACCGUGAACCUCACCAGGAUCGACUGCAGAAUGAAGGUCAGUCUGAAGGGCUUACCUGACACGCAGAGAGGAGUUGCAUGGCCGACGUCAGCCUGUGUCGUGAGAUGACCUGUUAAAUCAGGUAACAGGCGAGAUCCGCGUGUACAGUUGCUACGUUAAGAGCACACUGUACAGACUGCCCUGGUAACGGGGAGGAAGGUGCGGGCUACGUUAGGUGAGUACGGGCCCAAUUAUCUGGGCAACACGCGCCCGGCAUGAACACACCAAUGGAGACCGCCUCUGAAGAGACUACCCUAACUUACUAUCAUUGAGUUUACCCCCAUCCAUCAAUGAAGCUUGGAAUCCGAAGGAUU